UGGGGAAUAUUGCACAAUGGGCGCAAGCCUGAUGCAGCCAUGCCGCGUGUGUGAAGAAGGCCUUCGGGUUGUAAAGCACUUUCAGCGAGGAGGAAGGUGGUGAACUUAAUACGUUCAUCAAUUGACGUUACUCGCAGAAGAAGCACCGGCUAACUCCGUGCCAGCAGCCGCGGUAAUACGGAGGGUGCAAGCGUUAAUCGGAAUUACUGGGCGUAAAGCGCACGCAGGCGGUUUGUUAAGUCAGAUGUGAAAUCCCCGGGCUCAACCUGGGAACUGCAUUUGAAACUGGCAAGCUAGAGUCUCGUAGAGGGGGGUAGAAUUCCAGGUGUAGCGGUGAAAUGCGUAGGGAUCUGGAGGAAUACCGGUGGCGAAGGCGGCCCCCUGGACGAAGACUGACGCUCAGG
RNAcentral lists this ribosomal RNA (404 nucleotides) under uncultured bacterium. Its description in RNAcentral is "partial 16S ribosomal RNA". It matches the Rfam family "Bacterial small subunit ribosomal RNA", at positions 355 to 751 of the family's 1533-position model. The record is from RNAcentral.